UUCGCCCUUAGAGUUUGAUCCUGGCUCAGGACGAACGCUGGCGGCGCGCCUAACACAUGCAAGUCGAACGAGAGAGGAAGAGCUUGCUCUUCUGAUCGAGUGGCGAACGGGUGAGUAACGCGUGAGGAACCUGCCUCAAAGAGGGGGACAACAGUUGGAAACGACUGCUAAUACCGCAUAAGCCCACGGCUCGGCAUCGAGCAGAGGGAAAAGGAGCAAUCCGCUUUGAGAUGGCCUCGCGUCCGAUUAGCUAGUUGGUGAGGUAACGGCCCACCAAGGCGACGAUCGGUAGCCGGACUGAGAGGUUGAACGGCCACAUUGGGACUGAGACACGGCCCAGACUCCUACGGGAGGCAGCAGUGGGGAAUAUUGCACAAUGGGGGAAACCCUGAUGCAGCGACGCCGCGUGGAGGAAGAAGGUCUUCGGAUUGUAAACUCCUGUUGUUGAGGAAGAUAAUGACGGUACUCAACAAGGAAGUGACGGCUAACUACGUGCCAGCAGCCGCGGUAAAACGUAGGUCACAAGCGUUGUCCGGAAUUACUGGGUGUAAAGGGAGCGCAGGCGGGCGAUCAAGUUGGAAGUGAAAUCCAUGGGCUCAACCCAUGAACUGCUUUCAAAACUGAUUGUCUUGAGUAGUGCAGAGGUAGGCGGAAUUCCCGGUGUAGCGGUGGAAUGCGUAGAUAUCGGGAGGAACACCAGUGGCGAAGGCGGCCUACUGGGCACCAACUGACGCUGAGGCUCGAAAAUGUGGGUAGCAAACAGGAUUAGAUACCCUGGUAGUCCACACCGUAAACGAGGAUUACUAGGGUGUUGGAGGAAUUGACCCCUUCACUUGCCACAGUUAACACAAUAAAGUAAUCCACCUGGGGAGUACGACCGCAAGGUUGAAACUCAAAGGAAUUGACGAGGGGCCCGCACAAGCAGUGGAGUAUGUGGUUUAAUUCGACGCAACGCGAAGAACCUAACCAAGUCUUGACAUCCUGCGACGAUGCUAGAAAUAGUAUUUUCCUUCGGGACGCAGAGACAGGUGGUGCAUGGUUGUCGUCAGCUCGUGUCGUGAGAUGUUGGGUUAAGUCCCGCAACGAGCGCAACCCUUAUGGUCAGUUACUACGCAAGAGGACUCUGGCCAGACUGCCGUUGACAAAACGGAGGAAGGUGGGGAUGACGUCAAAUCAUCAUGCCCUUUAUGACUUGGGCUACACACGUACUACAAUGGCGUUAAACAAAGAGAAGCAAGACCGCGAGGUGGAGCAAAACUCAGAAACAACGUCCCAGUUCGGACUGCAGGCUGCAACUCGCCUGCACGAAGUCGGAAUUGCUAGUAAUCGCAGAUCAGCAUGCUGCGGUGAAUACGUUCCCGGGCCUUGCACACACCGCCCGUCA
Molecule: ribosomal RNA, 1384 nt
Filed under: uncultured bacterium
Lineage: Bacteria
Description: 16S ribosomal RNA
Rfam family: Bacterial small subunit ribosomal RNA
Source: RNAcentral